Molecule: small nucleolar RNA, 130 nt
Organism: Rattus norvegicus (Norway rat)
Lineage: Eukaryota; Metazoa; Chordata; Mammalia; Rodentia; Muridae
Product: small nucleolar RNA SNORA70
Source: Ensembl
UUGCAGCCAAUUAAGCCAACGGGAUAUCUUUCAUCCUGGGUCCCGGUGUGCAAUGGCUGCAAACAGCAUCCUCCUUUGGAGUGUACACGGUGUGAUUUGUUGGACUGCUCUAAGAGAAAUAGAGUUAUCU